AUUGAACGCUGGCGGCAGGCCUAACACAUGCAAGUCGAGCGGAGCGGCGGACGGGUGAGUAAUGCCUGGCAAUCUGCCUGGCAGUUGGGGGUAACGUCCGGAAACGGGCGCUAAUACAGCCUACUAUCAGAUGAGCCUAGGUCGGAUUGGCUAGUUGGUGGGGGAAAGGCUUACAAAGGCGACGCUCGGUAGCUGGUCUGAGAGGAUGAUCAGUCACACUGGAACUGAGACACGGUCCAGACUCCUACGGGAGGCAGCAGUGGGGAAUAUUGGAUAAUGGGCGAAAGCCUGAUGCAGCCAUGCCGCGUGUGUGAAGAAGGUCUUCGGAUUGUAAAGCACUUUCAGUGGGGAGGCGUUACCCGCAGAAUAAGCACCGGCUAACUUCGUGCCAGCAGCCGCGGUAAUUC
RNAcentral lists this ribosomal RNA (407 nucleotides) under uncultured bacterium. RNAcentral's name for it is "partial 16S ribosomal RNA". It matches the Rfam family "Bacterial small subunit ribosomal RNA", at positions 30 to 526 of the family's 1533-position model. The record is from RNAcentral.